RNAcentral lists this ribosomal RNA (503 nucleotides) under Pectinatus haikarae. Its description in RNAcentral is "bacterial SSU rRNA". It matches the Rfam family "Bacterial small subunit ribosomal RNA", at positions 41 to 525 of the family's 1533-position model. Lineage: Bacteria; Bacillati; Bacillota; Negativicutes; Selenomonadales; Selenomonadaceae. The record is from RNAcentral.
GGCGUGCCUUAACACAUGCAAGUCGAACGGGACCUUUUAUUUCGGUAAAAGUCUAGUGGCAAACNGGUGAGUAACGCGUAGGCAACCUACCUUCAAGAUGGGGACAACAUCCCGAAAGGGGUGCUAAUACCGAAUGUUGUAAGAGUACUGCAUGGUACUUUUACCAAAGGCGGCUUUUAGCUGUUACUUGGAGAUGGGCCUGCGUCUGAUUAGCUAGUUGGUGACGGUAAUGGCGCACCAAGGCAACGAUCAGUAGCCGGUCUGAGAGGAUGGACGGCCACAUUGGGANUGAGACACGGCCCAGACUCCUACGGGAGGCAGCAGUGGGGAAUCUUCCGCAAUGGGCGAAAGCCUGACGGAGCAACGCCGCGUGAACGAGGAAGGUCUUCGGAUCGUAAAGUUCUGUUGCAGGGGACGAAUGGCAUUAGUGCUAAUACCACUAAUGAAUGACGGUACCCUGUUAGAAAGCCACGGCUAACUACGUGCCAGCAGCCGCGGUAAAU